GGUGAAUUAAAAUGUAUUUGGAGCCAGUGGUGCUGAACAUAGAAUAAAAAACAAAAAAUAGAGCCCAGACAGGGACACCCAGGCUGGAGGUUGGAGUGGGCCAUAGUCAGAUUUAUUCACCUUUCUAGCAUGGGUUUCAAAGUGCGUAAGGGGAGAAAACACAGCAUGGAUUGUGCUGUGCAUCCUGGACACCGUGCAAGGUGCUCACAGCUGCGAUCUUGUCUCCCACAACUCUCCUGGGCGACAGAUGUCCACUGUCCACAUUUUACAGACAAGGAGAAAGGGAAGUCAAAUGUCCAAGUCCACACAGCUAAAAAGGGGCAGAACUAGGGUGACACUCAGGCCUCAUUUAGAGGUGGGGGAUUGGUGAGAAGUGGGGUGGGCUUCUGGAGGGGCUUGGAGAGCCCCACAAGGCUGCAGAGGGUGGUGAGCCCGGAGUGGGCCUGGCCUGGUGUGGGCUGGGGGUAUGGGUAGGGGCUGCAGACUGCAGGACAGCACCAACGGACCCAGUUUCAGAGGCAAGGGUUCUAGGCCCUUGAGAAUCCAGAGCGUCAAACAGACCCAGAUGGCUACAGGGUUGGUACCUGGGGAGGCCUUAGGACAGGCAGGAAGUCCCAGAGGUGAGGGCAUUGCCUGGGGACAUUUUUGCUCCCUGUCCUGCUGACAGAGCCUAGGAAAUGUGAACGUUUUCUACCCCCUCCUCUCUCGGCUCAGCAGAGCUCCAGCAAGCCAGGUCCUUGUCUGCGGGGACGCAUCAGUCCCUGGCUCUAGGGAAUGGGGAGUCCCACAGACAGAGGGGUGUGAGCAGGCUGAGUGGGUCUGUAAGCAGACACAGAAUUGAGUCAGGAAACAGUUUGAGUGUGGAGUAAGGGGCAGAAACAGGCUGAGGGCGUCUGGGCUUCAAAAUAAUUGACAACCUUUAAAGCAGAAGGGGAAAGUUGUCCAGAAACAAGAGCAGGAGGUUCCGAUCCCAGCCCCUCCCUGAGCCCUGGCCUCUCAGGCCCAUCCCAGGAGGGUCUCCCUGCAGAGCCGUGAAGCAGUUUUGGGUCUCUGCCUGCCACUCAGAGUGAGGUCUGCAGCCGGUCCUCAGCGGGCAGAGUCAGGAUGAAUGGGCUGAGGACCCCUGUGCUCCCCAAGGGGAAGGGCUGCAGCUCCUUGGCCUGGAACUGGGCAGUCCCCCCAGAGACCGUGAACGUGGCAGUGACCUGGGGGUUGAGGCAGUAAAUGGUGUUACCCAGGGUGGUGCAGCGCAGUGGGGCGGGGGCGGGCAGGGGCAGGGAGGCAGCCCUGCUCCAGGAGCCGGUCACCGUGUUGUAGCGCAUCACCGCCGCGCCCACACCCCGCAGUAGGUCGAAACGGUAUAAGAAGCCCCCGAGUGCCACGAUGUCGCUGGAACGCCGGUGGCUGGCACUGUAUGGGCACUCGUCCCAAGCAUCCUUCACGGGGCUGUACCUGAGCAGGCGGUAGAAGAGGUGACCCCCU
RNAcentral lists this long non-coding RNA (1482 nucleotides) under Macaca fascicularis (crab-eating macaque). RNAcentral describes it as "lncRNA (ENSMFAG00000057126.1)". The record is from RNAcentral. Lineage: Eukaryota; Metazoa; Chordata; Mammalia; Primates; Cercopithecidae.